GAGCGUUCCCCUUCGGGGGACAGAGUGACAGGUGGUGCAUGGUUGUCGUCAGCUCGUGUCGUGAGAUGUUGGGUUAAGUCCCGCAACGAGCGCAACCCUUAUCUUUAGUUGCCAUCAUUCAGUUGGGCACUCUAGAGAGACUGCCGGUGACAAACCGGAGGAAGGUGGGGAUGACGUCAAAUCAUCAUGCCCCUUAUGAUUUGGGCUACACACGUGCUACAAUGGAUGGUACAAAGGGCAGCAAAACCGCGAGGUCAAGCAAAUCCCAUAAAACCAUUCUCAGUUCGGAUUGUAGUCUGCAACUCGACUACAUGAAGCUGGAAUCGCUAGUAAUCGUAGAUCAGCAUGCUACGGUGAAUACGUUCCCGG
This 369-nucleotide ribosomal RNA is filed under the name uncultured bacterium. RNAcentral's name for it is "bacterial SSU rRNA". It matches the Rfam family "Bacterial small subunit ribosomal RNA", at positions 1008 to 1377 of the family's 1533-position model. The record is from RNAcentral.